CAAAAUCCGCUGAGAUAAAUUCUAUUGCAAUAAGUUCCACCUGUAAACCACAGAUUGACUGGACUAAUAUUAGAUUUGGUAAAUACUCGAGUGUCAGUCUACCUUGGAAAUGGGGACUCUACGGACGAGGGACUCGGAUGGCGAUAUUGUUCGCCCACUUCCACGAGUAAAGCGAAUGUUGAGUCAGAAACCACUUGUCUGCCGCAUGUGGUACAGAUUCGCACGUUGAAGGAUCUCUUGGAGACGUGGAGAAAGGA
Molecule: long non-coding RNA, 257 nt
Organism: Nematostella vectensis (starlet sea anemone)
Lineage: Eukaryota; Metazoa; Cnidaria; Anthozoa; Actiniaria; Edwardsiidae
Exons: 3
Source: RefSeq, a predicted model, not a curated record